RNAcentral lists this small nuclear RNA (19 nucleotides) under Arabidopsis thaliana (thale cress). RNAcentral describes it as "snRNA_10139". The record is from RNAcentral. Lineage: Eukaryota; Viridiplantae; Streptophyta; Magnoliopsida; Brassicales; Brassicaceae.
UGAUAGUAUCUAUUGCCAC